RNAcentral lists this unclassified non-coding RNA (211 nucleotides) under uncultured Orbiliales. RNAcentral describes it as "sequence contains ITS1". Lineage: Eukaryota; Fungi; Ascomycota; Orbiliomycetes; Orbiliales. The record is from RNAcentral.
AAAUGUAAGGGCCCCGGGGGGCCGUCUAAACAACACCCGUGAGCCCUACGGCCAGCAUGGCCGGAACGGUUUAACCCACUGUGAAAACCCUUGUUGCUUCGGCAGCGCCUCCCCUCGGGGAGGGUCAGCCUGCCGGCGGCACAACACCAAAACCCUUUUUAUGCGAAAAGCAGUUUUUAAAACGUCUGAGAGCGCAGUCGAAUGACACUUA